This 443-nucleotide ribosomal RNA is filed under the name uncultured bacterium. Its description in RNAcentral is "partial 16S ribosomal RNA". It matches the Rfam family "Bacterial small subunit ribosomal RNA", at positions 338 to 795 of the family's 1533-position model. The record is from RNAcentral.
CCUACGGGGGGCAGCAGUGGGGAAUAUUGGGCAAUGGGCGCAAGCCUGACCCAGCAACGCCGCGUGAAGGAUGAAGGCCCUCGGGUUGUAAACUUCUUUUAUUCGGGAAGAAACAAAUGACGGUACCGAAUGUAUAAGCCACGGCUAACUACGUGCAAGCAGCCGCGGUAAUACGUAGGUGGCAAGCGUUAUCCGGAUUUACUGGGUGUAAAGGGCGUGUAGGCGGGAGGGCAAGGCAGACGUGAAAUUCCAGGGCUCAAACCUGGAACUGCGGUUGAAACUGUUCUUCUUGAGUGAUGGAGAGGCAGGCGGAAUGCGGUGUGUAGCGGUGAAAUGCGUAGAUAUACGGAAGAACACCAAUGGCGAAGGCAGCGUACGGGAGAUAAACUGACGCUGAGGCGCGAAAGCGUGGGGAGCAAACAGGAUUAGAUACCCCUGUAGUC